RNAcentral lists this ribosomal RNA (451 nucleotides) under uncultured bacterium. RNAcentral's name for it is "partial 16S ribosomal RNA". It matches the Rfam family "Bacterial small subunit ribosomal RNA", at positions 354 to 796 of the family's 1533-position model. The record is from RNAcentral.
GUGGGGAAUAUUGGACAAUGGGGGGAACCCUGAUCCAGCCAUGCCGCGUGUGUGAAGAAGGCCUUUUGGUUGUAAAGCACUUUAAGCGAGGAGGAGGCUACCGAGAUUAAUACUCUUGGAUAGUGGACGUUACUCGCAGAAUAAGCACCGGCUAACUCUGUGCCAGCAGCCGCGGUAAUACAGAGGGUGCAAGCGUUAAUCGGAUUUACUGGGCGUAAAGCGCGCGUAGGUGGCCAAUUAAGUCAAAUGUGAAAUCCCCGAGCUUAACUUGGGAAUUGCAUUCGAUACUGGGUGGCUAUAGUAUGGGAGAGGAUGGUAGAAUUCCAGGUGUAGCGGUGAAAUGCGUAGAGAUCUGGAGGAAUACCGAUGGCGAAGGCAGCCAUCUGGCCUAAUACUGACACUGAGGCGCGAAAGCGUGGGGAGCAAACAGGAUUAGAAACCCGGGUAGUCC